CAGACCUCUAAUNGGAAAAGACUACCCGCUGAGUUUAA
RNAcentral lists this ribosomal RNA (38 nucleotides) under Cratoneuron filicinum. RNAcentral's name for it is "partial 25S ribosomal RNA". The record is from RNAcentral. Lineage: Eukaryota; Viridiplantae; Streptophyta; Bryopsida; Hypnales; Amblystegiaceae.